RNAcentral lists this unclassified non-coding RNA (303 nucleotides) under plant metagenome. RNAcentral describes it as "partial contains 5.8S ribosomal RNA, internal transcribed spacer 2, and large subunit ribosomal RNA". The stretch from base 1 to 105 matches the Rfam family "5.8S ribosomal RNA", at positions 50 to 154 of the family's 154-position model. The record is from RNAcentral.
GAAAUGCGAUAAGUAAUGUGAAUUGCAGAAUUCAGUGAAUCAUCGAAUCUUUGAACGCACAUUGCGCCCGCCAGUAUUCUGGCGGGCAUGCCUGUUCGAGCGUCAUUUCAACCAUCAAGCCCCGCGCUUGUGUUGGGGACCUGCGGCUGCCGCAGGCCCUGAAAACCAGUGGCGGGCUCGCUGUCACACCGGGCGUAGUAGAUUUUAUCUCGCUCAGGGCGUGCUGCGGGUUCCGGCCGUUAAAAAGCCUUUUUUACCCAAGGUUGACCUCGGAUCAGGUAGGAACACCCGCUGAACUUAAGC